GACGAACGCUGGCGGCGUGCUUAACACAUGCAAGUCGAACGGAAAGGCCCUGCUUUUGUGGGGUGCUCGAGUGGCGAACGGGUGAGUAACACGUGAGUAACCUGCCCUUGACUUUGGGAUAACUUCAGGAAACUGGGGCUAAUACCGGAUAGGAGCUCCUGCUGCAUGGUGGGGGUUGGAAAGUUUCGGCGGUUGGGGAUGGACUCGCGGCUUAUCAGCUUGUUGGUGGGGUAGUGGCUUACCAAGGCUUUGACGGGUAGCCGGCCUGAGAGGGUGACCGGCCACAUUGGGACUGAGAUACGGCCCAGACUCCUACGGGAGGCAGCAGCGGGGAAGAUUGCACAAUGGGCGGAAGCCUGAUGCAGCAACGCCGCGUGCGGGAUGACGGCCUUCGGGUUGUAAACCGCUUUCGCCUGUGACGAAGCGUGAGUGACGGUAAUGGGUAAAGAAGCACCGGCUAACUACGUG
This 468-nucleotide ribosomal RNA is filed under the name uncultured bacterium. RNAcentral's name for it is "partial 16S ribosomal RNA". It matches the Rfam family "Bacterial small subunit ribosomal RNA", at positions 28 to 507 of the family's 1533-position model. The record is from RNAcentral.